GACGAGGGAUCCUAGCGUUGUUCGGAAUUAUUGGACGUAAAGCGGGUGUAGGCGGACUUAUAAGUCAGGUGUGAAAUCCCAGGGCUCAACCCUGGAAGUGCACUUGAUACUGCAAGUCUUGAGUGUGGUAGAGGCUAUUAGAAUUCCUGGUGUAGUGGUGAAAUACGUAGAUAUCAGGAGGAAUACCGGAGGCGAAGGCGGAUAGCUGGGCCAACACUGACGCUGAGACCCGAAAGCGUGGGGAUCAAACAGG
RNAcentral lists this ribosomal RNA (253 nucleotides) under uncultured bacterium. Its description in RNAcentral is "partial 16S ribosomal RNA". It matches the Rfam family "Bacterial small subunit ribosomal RNA", at positions 524 to 776 of the family's 1533-position model. The record is from RNAcentral.